This 497-nucleotide ribosomal RNA is filed under the name uncultured bacterium. Its description in RNAcentral is "partial 16S ribosomal RNA". It matches the Rfam family "Bacterial small subunit ribosomal RNA", at positions 28 to 507 of the family's 1533-position model. The record is from RNAcentral.
GAUGAACGCUGGCGGCGUGCCUAAUACAUGCCAGUCGAGCGAACGGACGAGAAGCUUGCUUCUCUGAUGUUAGCGGCGGACGGGUGAGUAACACGUGGAUAACCUACCUAUAAGACUGGGAUAACUUCGGGAAACCGGAGCUAAUACCGGAUAAUAUUUCGAACCGCAUGGUUCAAAAGUGAAAGACGGUCUUGCUGUCACUUAUAGAUGGAUCCGCGCUGCAUUAGCUAGUUGGUAAGGUAACGGCUUACCAAGGCAACGAUGCAUAGCCGACCUGAGAGGGUGAUCGGCCACACGGGAACUGAGACACGGUCCAGACUCCUACGGGAGGCAGCAGUAGGGAAUCUUCCGCAAUGGGCGAAAGCCUGACGGAGCAACGCCGCGUGAGUGAUGGAGGUCUUCGGAUCGUAAAACUCUGUUAUUAGGGAAGAACAUAUGUGUAAGUAACUGUGCACAUCUUGACGGUACCUAAUCAGAAAGCCACGGCUAACUACGUG